GGUUUACUUUUCAUUAUCGUUAUUGAAAAGUCGAAUUCUUCUAAACCCUUCACACGCACGCUAUUCCUCUCUUCUCCGAUCCACACGAUCACUCUUCCUCUUCCCCAAUCAAUCUAGGGUUUCAUCCAAAUUAUGAACUGCGAAGUUUGCCACCUCAAAGAACUCGAACUCGAACACUUUGAAAUUCGAGAAAUUCUCCGAUGUAUAUUGCACACCAUUAUUUUUCAUCGGGCGUUAGGUCUUGUGCGUCCAAAAGAUGUAGACUUGGAACUCUUUGAUGUUACCUAUGUGCAAUGUGGAGAGGUGGAGGUUGAAAACAAAAUAGAAGAGAAAAUUGAGCAGUUUAUUUGCUGGGUGGAGAAACAUCCAAACAAAAAGAGUCAGAUAUGCUUAUCUUUCUACGAGGUUAAAAACAAACAGGCGUCUUGGUUCAGUAACAGGAUUGAACGUUUGUAUUGGGAGCAAUGGUAUAUUAAUCUGAAUGUAGCCCAGCAUUUGAAAUCACAUUCUAGCAAAUCUCAUCAUUCUAAAUUUGUUGAUCCAGGAGAUGGAACAUUGGAGGAUAGAAAUGCUCGAAGUGCAGCACUUGAAGUAUCGCUUCGUGAGGUUUUAUUUCAAAUAAUUAAAUUCGUCAACGAGAAGAAGGAUCAUGUUCCGCCAAUACCAAAUCUAGAGGGUGCUAUUUCCUUUCCCUAUGAAAUUACAAUACCUAGAUAUAGGAUUCAAGGUGGAUGAACAAAUUGCUUGUGGUCAUGAUUUGCCUAUCAAACAUUAAGGAGAACUCUACGAAACUAUUAGUUCAUCGGAUUCUGCAUUUGGGAUGGACAUGAUCAAGAGAAUGCUUCAAACUGGGCAUCCAACAAUGCUAAGUUGAUCUUUAGAGUUUAUAGAACAAUUUAUGGGAUUAAAUGGAUUCUUGUUCUUAUGUUGAAGCUGGAAAUCUGGUGCUAAUGAAAGCUAGAGGAGAAGGCUAGGCAAUCUUUCUGUAAAUAAAAAAGAAUAUGUAAGAGCUAGAUGAGCCAUUUGUCUUUUCAAAUACUACUACUUUCUAAAUCUCAAUUUUCAUGAUAUAUUGUAUGUAUUUCAUUCGUCUUCUCUUCGGAGCUCAGAGUUCUGUAGAUAAGUCUGCUAGUUCCAAAUCAUUUACUUUAUAUUGUAUAUAUUUUGCUUGAGUUUGUGAACCCCCCCCCCACUUGUAUAAUUCUAAGCAACUACUUCAUGAA
Molecule: RNA transcript, 1223 nt
Organism: Medicago truncatula (barrel medic)
Lineage: Eukaryota; Viridiplantae; Streptophyta; Magnoliopsida; Fabales; Fabaceae
Gene name: autophagy-related protein 101
Exons: 8
Source: RefSeq, a predicted model, not a curated record